UAUAUAUAUAUAUAUAUAUAAAAAAGUGUAUUUUAGAGUUUUAGAAGAAAAUAAGGGUUAUAUGCUCAGAUUUGAGCAGUAAACUGUUUAAAGGAGAGUGAUAUAAUCCCAGUAAAGUUGCAGUUCAGAGAAAUAAAUAUAUUAUACAUUCUUUCAAAAUGUAAUCCAGGCAACACCCACCCUAUAAGAUAAAAGCGUUGCUCUGGUUAUGGAUGCAUGGACAUACAGGAGGAGUUCCAUGAUCCAGGCUGAAAAUGCCUCACAUGUCCAGAGUUGUGGAGUUUCAUAAAUGGCAAGCUGUCAUACAGUUAGGAAUAUCAGUAAUAAUGCUGGAUUGCAAAGGAUGAACUGAAACAUCAGCUAUAGAGUAGUCAUCAGGAAAAUCACUUUGCUCUCAACAGCAAGUGUCAAAAGCAGAGAUAAUUUGAAAAGAGUUCAGUAUAGAGGUAGUACAAAAAUGACUGAGGCAAAAAUCUUUGUUCUUAUUAUCUCUGCAAAACAAGCAAACAAACAAAACCCUGAUAAACCAAAAUAAAAUAAUAAUAAUAAUAAUAAAAACCUCACAAAAUAGCAUGAUUAAAAAUACAGGGUAACAGACUUUAGGGACUCAAGAAAGAGGCUCUUGGGAAUCAUGCAGGCAGCUCACCUCUUCUGUGGACUGCAGAGUACAGUUAAACAUGGCAUGGAAAAUAAGGGAAAAACAAGAUUCUCCGAGCCAUAGACACACCCGCAAUAGCAACAAUGAUGUUACUAUCUCAGAGGAAAUCAACAUUUAUAUAUAUUCUCUAGAGGACUCCUGAUCUUUCAUCUCCAGUAAAUUAUGGGAGUAGUGGGAAUGAAAGAGCUGCUUUACCACCAUUCACCAAUGUACAACUUUUUAUAAGGUAAAAUGAUGUAUCAGGCAACUGAAACAAAGUAAGAUGUGAAUGGAAUCAAGUGAAACAUUUCUUUACAUCUGUCUCAUUUUUUUCUUCUUAAAACUGGCAACAACUACUACUACAACAACAAAUCAGAAUGCAGUUGAUAUUACUGAGUGUUGUGGAAUUUUGAAUGCAGAGCAUAAUGAAGAAGAUUGGAGCCAUAUCUAUGCAAAAAAUGCCAGAAAUGAAAAAGUCUUCCAAAUAAGAGUCCUAAAAGAUAUCUUUGCUAUACAGUCAUGAAAUAUACUCUCAAAUUUUAAGAUAUACCACAUACAUCUGUUACAUACUGUGAAGUCUGUAGUCUCAGUCAGUGCAAGCAAAUCCUGAGUUAGCCUUAGUCUCAUAUAUACUUCAUCAUCUUUAUAUCUCUGCUGUAAUAUUUCUGGGCCAGAUUAUCAUAUUGUUUAUAUUCGAUCAAUCAAAUAAUGCCAAAAUCUUAAAAUUAGUGGGAAAGAGAAUAAUCAGCCUCCUCUGAUCAUAUUUUUCCUAUUUAACAUCAAGGUUAAAUUUCAAAUAGAUUCAGAGUACUUAUCCAGAUACUUUUAUCUCUUUAGUGUUUUUUAACAUUAUAAUUCUCUAGUAGCAGGAUGGUUUUUCUGUUCUGCCCUUUUCAACUCCAGAGAAAGCCUUCUCUCUAAUAAUUCUCAGUACUUGUUCAAGAACAAAUGUUCACCCUUGCCACUUCUCACCACUGAACUGUGCUUGCAGCUGUUGCCAGUUUUGUAUCUCCUUCAGGUUCACAUAUGAAAUGCUGUAGUCAAACUGUAGUUCUUAUGUUUCAGGAGGGUGAUUUGUGAACUGUUUUGACUGGGUUGGAAAAAGCUGUCUUCAAAUAGUUUUUAAUAUUUUCUUCAGUUUUCUAAUGAUACUUUCCUUAUGAGAGUAAGUUCAGCUUUCCUUGCUGUUGAAGUUAAUGGCAACAAUUUCACUGACUUUGUGACUCAACAUUCACAUUAAUUUUUAUGGCAUUUUUCAAUAGCAACAUCCAAUGUACUUAAAAAAAAAAAAAAAAAAAAAAAGAAGGUUGACAGCGUGUACAUAACUGCAUAACUGUUCAAAACUUAACCCAGAGAAGUCUGUGAAGAGUCACAAGCUGUGCUGGUAAAUGAUGAGUUUCAAGUUUGUUUGUUUUUUUUUUUUUUAAAUUAUUAUUUUUGGGGGGGGAGGAGGGUGCAACUGUCCAUAAAGAUUCUAUGAAGUAGCAAUGCAUCAUAUACUCCCUCAAAGAGUAGGAUUAAUCUUGCUUAGUUUUAUCCAUACAGAAAUCAUAUUGAUUUUAUUUCCCAUUAGAAAUGUAUCCCUAUUUACUAUUUUUGUAACUUCAUUUCCUCUCUUCUUCAACUUGAAGAUUCUCCUGACUCCCAGUUUUUUAUCCUGAUGUUGCACAAAGAACUUAGAUAUGGCAUGGAAUGUCUUUUGUUAAAUACUUGCUGUCAUUGUCCUCCCUCAAAUGCCUAAGUUGCUACUUUAGGUGGCUGUGGGGAGGUAAGGUAUUAUUCACUUAUGUAAUAAACUACAGAUGUAACACACAGCCAGAUUGGAUGUAGCCAUCAGGAUUUCACUUAACAAAAACAGUGAACACUUUUUUGGAAUCAUAGAAUCAUGGAAUGGUUUGGGUUGGAGGGACCAUUUAAGAUCAUCUAGUUUCAACCCCCCUGCUAUAGGCAGGGACACCUCCCACUCAACCAGGUUGCUCAAAACCUCAUCCAGCCCAGCCCUGAACACCUCCAGGAAGGGGGCAUCCACAACCUCUCUGGGCAACCUGUUCCAGUGUCUCACCAUCCUCACAGUAAAGAAUUUCUUCCUGAUAAUAUCUAGUCUAAAUCUACCCUCUUCCAGUUUAAAACCAUUUCCCCUUAUCGUGUUGCUACAUGACCGAAUAAAGAAGUCCCUUCCCAGCUUUCCUGUAGGCUUCCUUCAAGUACUGGAAGGCCACUAUAAUGUCUCCCCAGAACCUUCUCUUCUCCAGGCUGAAGAGCCCCAGCUCUCAGUCUGUCUUCAUAUGGGAGCUGCUCCAGCCCUCUGAUCAUUUUUGUGGCCCUCCUCUGGACCUGUUCCAACAGCUCCAUGUCCUUCUUGUGUUGAGGGCCCCAGAAACAGACACAGUACUCCAGAUGGGUUCUCACGAAAGCAGAGUAGAGAGGUAGAAUCACCUUACUCUAUCUGCUGGUCACACUUCUCUUGAUGCAACCCAAGAUACAGUUGACUAGAUUAACUUGCUGCAAUGUAUACUGACAAUUUUGUCUUUAACAAAAUUCAAUCAAGGCAAUUUUUGUUAGUUUCUCUAUAGAUGACUAUUUUUUUACUCCUACUGAGGAAUAUAAAGGGAUUUUGAGAAAAUACUUAUUAUCAGAAAAGACAUCAAUUUUAACAAGGCUCUCUUGUUUAUUUGGGGGGGGGGGGGGGGGGGGGGGAGAGGGGUAGGCACUUUUCUGAUGUUUGUGCAUACAUAUUUAAAGCAUUUGCAUGUAUAGGCAUCUUUUAAAUCACAAUUUGCAUAAGUAUUGCUAUAUAAUUUCAACAUCAUUUGCAUGUUAUUAUUUUACAAUUCAUUUUUUUUCUCUGUCAUCUACCUCUCAAUUACAGUUUGGAGACUUGCAUGACCCUGAAAGAAUACAGCUAACAAAAAGCAUAGUGUUUAAACUUGCACAGAUUAUUAGACAGUCUCCAAAAUAUUUGAAAUAGUUCAAAGUAAUAUUUUAAAGCACUGCAUACUGAUGACUGUAUUCUUUUUAUCAAUAUUAGUAAAUCUGAAGAGUUAAGCCAUACUGGUAUAUUUUUUUGCAUCACUGAACUGGUGUAAAAAAAAAUCGAUGUGUCAUUUAAGUAUCCAAAGUCUACUGCCCUUUCUGUGAGAUGCUGCCUUUUUGUAUUUCCUUCUAUUUCUGAAUUAAAGGAAGAAACUAAAUGGAAACAGUAGGACAGUAGUACAUACAAGGUGUUACAAAAAAGUGUUGCAGAAUAUUUUACAUUCUUCAUCCCGAGAGAGAGGGAGAGAAAGCAAGGAAGGAAGGAAGGAAGGAAGGAAGGAAAUACAGAAUUAAAUACAAAAUUUUAGCUUUCUUUCUCUUUUGUGUGGACAGCUGGGGAAGCUGGUCACAAAAUACUCCAUUGGGAACAAGAAAUAGUGAUUGCUGGUCUUGAAAAAAAAAAAAAAGAAUUGUUUCAUCAAAUAUACUCUUCAGUUUAGUCUACAAACCAUUCUUGCCUUCUAGAACAGCCCACAAAGUCCACUGAAGUCAACAUAAACAAACAGUCAGACAAGCUUUAUCAGACUUUGAAAGUGUUGUGGCUUCAGUGGAGGCUUCAGCCUUACUUUCUCCAUAUCAAAUCUCAGGAAUGUCAGAUAUAACGCAACAAAUGCAGAAUUUAUUGCAACUGGCAAAGUUAGUUAUGCCUACAUAAUAUGCAUAAUGAAUCAGUCCCUAAAUUAACGCACAAUAUGUAUUAUUUUAGUCUAUGUAAAUAAGGAAAAACAAAAAGCAAAAACAAACAAACAAAAAACCUUCUGAAUGUAAAUUAUAAAUAGUGAGGAUAUAUUUAAAAAAAUAUCCAAACAAAUCUGUUUAACUCUGAAAGAAAAUAUCUCUAUCCUUUCAAGCCUUCUAGCAGUUUAUAAUCUUCAUUUUUAUUAUUUUCUUAGAAAGUGAUCUGUGUCUUUUGGAAGUGUAUAUAUGAAUAAAUAUAUAAGGGAAUAUAUAUCUGUAUGUGUGUAUGUGUGUAUAUAUGUAUUCCCCUAUAUAUAAAACUCUAAUUUAUAUAUAUUAUAUAUAUUUAUGUAUAUAUAAAAUAUAUAUAAUGUUUUAGAGUAUGUUGCAUAUUGUGCCUAAUAAGUGACACACACUUGUAAGCAGAUAAAAGAUUUCAGCAAAUGAUAGAACAAUGUAAAGAUUUUUUACAAUGGUAAAGUAUUAUUUUUCAGUUUAUGAUGGUUUUAUUUACAUCAGAAAUUCAUUCAGAAAACUUCAUUAUUUCACAACACUGAUAUUUCAAGCAUGACUCAACUAAAAGUUGACCUAAUUUCACUGAGAAUUUUCAUUGUUAGGCUGGAACUCCUCCACUGAGGGUGGAGUGGUUGGUUGUUUUUGUUCUGAAAACAUUAUCUGUGUGAUCUCUGAACAGACUGUGAAAUGUAGGCUGAUUUUUGAACACUGUAGUAUGUAUGUCAAAAUCAUAUGAGAUAUUUAUAGACAAGAUAUUCUUGUAAAAACUAUGGAAAAUGAGGAAACUGAAGGCUCUGCAAACUAUUCCAAUUAAAUUAUUGUGGGGAACUCUCCAGAACAUUAAAUUAUAAUAAUGGUGGCAAUUUUUAAUACAUUUUCCACAUACUGUUUUUAUUCUGUCUGCAGGUAGGCAAGUCUGUGAAAUGCCUACAUUUGUCUCUGACUCUUAAGAAGUAUUACCUUAUUUUAUUUUUUAAGAAUUUUUUCAGAGUGGUACAUAAAGCACUUACGUAAAUACCCUUCCUGAUCUGUGACACAGAUGUAUUUUCCAAUUCUGGCUUACUUGGAAAGUUGACCAUGUCUGCAGUCUACCAAUAGAACUUGGUAUUCCUAUGCAAUAAUUCAACAUGUAGUUGCCACUGUUGCUGGCUAAUAUUUUUUUUCAUCAUUUUUGUAUUAUGCAAUACUGUAUGGUUUUUACUUGAAUAUAUUGGCUAAACUUUUGUUUUGUUUUGACAAUCAAUUAUUAGCUAGUGGUGCUAUUUAUGUUCCAAAGAGAUUUGGGUGGAUGAUAACAUUUUCUUUCUAGAUGCCAAAUGCUUUUUUGACCUGACAAAAAUCAUUGUUCAUAGUGUAUAUUAAUCCUGUAAAAAUGCUUAUGCACUGCAUUACACUGUCUUUAAAUGCAUUUCUGCUCAUUAACUUCUAUUCCAGGACUGUACUAGUGUCUAAUAUGUCCAGUUUGUCCAUACACAUUUAUGGAAAAUUACAAAGAAAAAUAUGUAUGAUUAACAAUCAAAAAAAAAAAAAAAAAAAGAAAAGAAAAAAAAAGAAAGAAAUAAAAUUUCCAUGUAAAGUUUCUGGAAGUUUGUAAAUACUUUUUAAAAUUUUCAUUAUUUAGUUGAAAAUUAUUUUUAAUUUUAAAGUGCACAGAUAUUCAUAGAUACAUGCGUAGAUUAACUAUUCAGAUUUAGCUAAGACCUCAAAAUCUUGUAUACCUGUGUAUAGAUACAGAACUGAAAGGUUUCCAGUGCAGAAAAAAUAGUACUAGCAGUAAAUGUACUACCAGCCCUUUGUUAUCCCUAACCACAACAUAAUUAUAACUAAUUUUCAUAAAUUACUAAAAAAAAAAAAAAAUCUGGACACCCAGAACUUUUGUCAAUUAUUCUGAUUGGGAAAUUUUUCUGUAUUCCAUGUACAUGCACAAUCAUUCAUUUAUUACUAAUACUCAUUUUUGUAUAGGAGAGGAAUAUGUCCAUAUAAAUUGAAAUAGUGGUUAUAGAUAACUCUAUUCAUUCACUUCUUUCUAAGUGUUUCCGGAUCCAACUUAUUUGUCCCUUAGCUUAGGGCAACAGUCGCUAGCCUCAGUUAAAUUCUUUUUUAUUUAUGUAAUUUGAUUGGGUGUUUUAAAUUAGAGACAAUUGAUUAACAUCCUUUGCAUGCUAUCUACGUGCUUUUUAUAAACAAGCACAGCAAGCUAGUAGGAAACGAAGGUGUACCAUUUCUUAAUUGAACUGCUGAAUACAAAACAUAACUCCUAUGAAAACAAAUGACAUUUAUUUUCAGAUUUCUAAUAACUGCAAUAUUUAUUUUCAAGUAAUGUUAUCAGUAAUUUUCUUGAUAUGGAAAUGUUGAUUCAGCUAUAUUUAGAUUCUGUUUAGAUUCUAGCCCAUUGUAAUAUUUGCAUAUUUGAAUAUAUGUAAUAUUCAUAAAUAAUCUAUUUUGAGGCAUAGACCAAACAAAGAUUAAAAUUAAAUUUAAAAAUAUAUAGUGGUAAAACUGUUCUUUGUACAAUGAACUGGUGCCAAUACUGCUCUUUCCAGUUUGUUUUUGAUGUUUAUGAUAUUUAACUUUGAUCAAUGACAUUGAUGUUAUCUCUUGCAUGGAAAACAUAUGUUGCCCCCUUGAAUGUAAAUGCCAUGUUAAAACUUUUCUCAGUUAAGGAUAGAAGUAAAUGCUAAUGGAU
RNAcentral lists this long non-coding RNA (7049 nucleotides) under Gallus gallus (chicken). Its description in RNAcentral is "lncRNA (ENSGALG00010014656.1)". Lineage: Eukaryota; Metazoa; Chordata; Aves; Galliformes; Phasianidae. The record is from RNAcentral.